UUGAAAGGGAAACGAUUGAAGUCAGUCGUGCUGGCGCGAAAUCAACCCCUCUCAUCCGGGAGACCCCAUGUUGUGGCGAGCCUCAAAACCCCCACAGCAUGUGUCUCACGAUGAGGGGGAGCCCUUUCGUGUCCGCUGGUUAACAUCAAUUUCGAACGUCAUAAAAAGGCUGGAGGGAUGUGGCUCCUUCGGGAGUGUUAUAACCUUUAGCGGAAUGUGGUGUUCGGGAUUGAGGAUUGCAACGAAUACCUUUAGGGCUGUUCCACCUGGCUUCUCUUUGGUAUCCUGGUGACGACAGCUNNNCNUNNNNNNGGGNUUGCCNNGANUACCUCUAGAGUNUGAGCACAACGUUAAGGAUGUUGACGUA
This 367-nucleotide ribosomal RNA is filed under the name uncultured Glomeromycotina. Its description in RNAcentral is "partial large subunit ribosomal RNA". Lineage: Eukaryota; Fungi; Glomeromycota. The record is from RNAcentral.